AUCCCAUGACUGUGGGAAAAUGGGCCUCAGUUCUCUUUUCUAUAACAUAAGGACACUGGACGAUUUGAAUUUGGAAAGUUAAAAGAACUCCUAAAGCCUUGCAAGACAUAGUUUGGGAAUGUUCUCCAUUGCUGCCAUUUUUCCUCCAAAAAUAACCUGGCUUGGAAGUCAUUGGUUGAAAGGGAACUUGACUCCCCAUAGAAACUGGAGGGAAGGUAACACAAGUGGAGAGGGACAGCUGUAUUUCUGCCAGAGUAAGAAACCCACCGAAAGGUUCUGGUACGGAUUUUGGAGACAUAAAGAGAAUGAGUGUAUGUACUUUGAGUGUACCAGUUUCCUCGAUCUCUCCUGGCAGAAGAUGCAGUGCUUUUAGUGAUGCUGGGGUUCUGGGGUGUGUUUCCAUUAAUUCAAAUACAGAUGAAGACGGUGUGCUAGAGGGAAAGAUGGUGGCAGAAGGAUCGAAUAAAGAGACAAAAUUGCCUGCUAAAAAGAAAAGAAA
RNAcentral lists this long non-coding RNA (499 nucleotides) under Rattus norvegicus (Norway rat). RNAcentral's name for it is "long non-coding RNA NONRATT008213". The record is from RNAcentral. Lineage: Eukaryota; Metazoa; Chordata; Mammalia; Rodentia; Muridae.